UACAGAGGGGGCAAGCGUUGUUCGGAAUUACUGGGCGUAAAGGGCGCGUAGACGGCCUUCUAAGUCAUGCGUGAAAUCCCCGGGCUCAACCCGGGAACUGCGUCUGAUACUGGAAGGCUUGAAUCCGGGAGAGGGAUGCGGAAUUCCAGGUGUAGCGGUGAAAUGCGUAGAUAUCUGGAGGAACACCGGUGGCGAAGGCGGCAUCCUGGACCGGCAUUGACGCUGAGGCGCGAAAGCUAGGGGAGCAAACGGG
RNAcentral lists this ribosomal RNA (253 nucleotides) under uncultured bacterium. RNAcentral's name for it is "partial 16S ribosomal RNA". It matches the Rfam family "Bacterial small subunit ribosomal RNA", at positions 524 to 776 of the family's 1533-position model. The record is from RNAcentral.